AAGUCGUAACAAGGUUUCCGUAGGUGAACCUGCGGAAGGAUCAUUAACACGUAUCCACGUAUCAACCAACCGCGAACUAGUUUUCAAUUCUCCCUAAGGAGUACAUGAAUUGUGAAUCGAGUAUUGAGUGGGACUUUAAUCGGUCGACUGUUUUUCACAUAGAUUGUAGUACUCUGAAGGCAAUCCUUUCAUUAUUGGAAUCUCCAUUCAAGAUUCUGAUAGUGGAAACCAAAUACACCAAUUUCACCACCUUUUUGCUAGUUGACUUGAUUAUGUUGAUUUCAUUUUAGAUUAACUUCUGGAGUGAUCUCACACGUUUAAUUAUUUAAACGAUUAAAACAACUCUUAGCAAUGGAUAUCUCGGUUCUC
RNAcentral lists this unclassified non-coding RNA (369 nucleotides) under fungal sp. RNAcentral's name for it is "partial internal transcribed spacer region". The stretch from base 1 to 46 matches the Rfam family "Eukaryotic small subunit ribosomal RNA", at positions 1786 to 1831 of the family's 1831-position model. Lineage: Eukaryota; Fungi. The record is from RNAcentral.